CUGUCCUCUGUGCAGGGACGCGACGUCCUGCAGGGCUCUGCACUGUGCGAUCCGGCGGCUGGCAGAGUCUCAGCCCAGCGCCACGGCAGCCAACCUCCUGCACAGCCUGCAGACCUGCGGCGUGAUCAGCAAGACGGGCAUGCCCAGCAAGAGCUCGGCCCCAGCGGCCUCGCUGGCCCUGUCCUGGACCUGCCUGCUGGUGCGCGCCGUCUUCCCCUCCCCCGACAGCCGAGAGGGCCCCACCUGGAAGAAGCUGGUGGAGGUGCAGAGUCUGCUGCUGUCCGAGGUGCUGGGAGGAGCACGCAGGAACACUGUCGCGUCGGCCCUGAAGAGCCUGCAUCUGCUGUGG
Molecule: non-coding RNA, 349 nt
Organism: Lepisosteus oculatus (spotted gar)
Lineage: Eukaryota; Metazoa; Chordata; Actinopteri; Semionotiformes; Lepisosteidae
Source: RefSeq, a predicted model, not a curated record